UUCAGAUCCAAAUUCAAUAGCAACAGAAAUUAAAAAAAUAAAAAAAAAGAAAGAAUUUUUUUUCUGAAGAACAAAAAGAAGAGGGAUUCGAGACUGAAGACGACAAAUUCGAAGACGCUUCUAUCGAUCCCACCACCCUAUGCUCUCCACCUUCCCAACCUCUCACAACUGACCUCACUCCUCCUACCCGCAUCGAUCCCCAUGGAAAGUGGUGAGCUCCAGGAAGCAAAACAGAGAAUCAAAGAAGCAUAACAAGAAGAAGAAUAGAUCUGAAUCUGGAAGGAGCAAUACGGCAAGAAGGCAGAACGGAGGCGCAACACUGCAGGAGGCAGAACGGAGGCGUGGCGUUGUGAGAGGAAGAACGCAUGCCGGCGCUGCGAGAGAAAGAGCGCGACGGAGAAGGAGUCGGCGCCGAAGAAGAGUCAGAGAACAUGGUUGUCGUCGAGGAGUAAGGAUUGAGGUCGGUGAUGGAAAGGGAGAAGAAGGUGGAGAAGGAGAUGAGGAAGGUGAGGCCAACAUUAAUGGAGGAAGGGUUGAGGUUGGUGAUGGAAAGGGAGAAGCUAAGAAGGUGGAGAAGGAGGUGGGGGCGG
Molecule: long non-coding RNA, 590 nt
Filed under: Arachis ipaensis
Lineage: Eukaryota; Viridiplantae; Streptophyta; Magnoliopsida; Fabales; Fabaceae
Description: long non-coding RNA (AIPA_LNC001166)
Source: RNAcentral